UGUUAAGAGUAGGAAGAAGGAUGGGCCUUCUGAAGAUACGUCUGAAUUGCUCGUUAUCGAAACUAAUCUAACAAUUUUUUUUUCUUCUAGUUGGAUUUUAGAUUCUGGUUCAAGUGCUCAUUUGUGCACUUCAAUGCAGGAUCUUGAAGAAGUAAGGGGGCUGAGGGAAGGCAAGAUCACUCUUUGAGUCGGCAAUGGAGCAAAGAUUGCUGCUGUGACCGUC
Molecule: long non-coding RNA, 223 nt
Filed under: Elaeis guineensis (African oil palm)
Lineage: Eukaryota; Viridiplantae; Streptophyta; Magnoliopsida; Arecales; Arecaceae
Description: long non-coding RNA (EGUI_LNC048209)
Source: RNAcentral